UACGUAGGGCGCGAGCGUUGUCCGGAAUUAUUGGGCGUAAAGAGCUCGUAGGCGGUGUGUCGCGUCGGCCGUGAAAACCUGCAGCUUAACUGUGGGCUUGCGGUCGAUACGGGCAUCACUGGAGUUCGGCAGGGGAGACUGGAAUUCCUGGUGUAGCGGUGAAAUGCGCAGAUAUCAGGAGGAGCACCGGUGGCGAAGGCGGGUCUCUGGGCCGAUACUGACGCUGAGGAGCGAAAGCGUGGGGAGCGAACAGG
This 254-nucleotide ribosomal RNA is filed under the name uncultured bacterium. RNAcentral's name for it is "partial 16S ribosomal RNA". It matches the Rfam family "Bacterial small subunit ribosomal RNA", at positions 524 to 776 of the family's 1533-position model. The record is from RNAcentral.